Molecule: ribosomal RNA, 556 nt
Filed under: uncultured bacterium
Lineage: Bacteria
Description: bacterial SSU rRNA
Rfam family: Bacterial small subunit ribosomal RNA
Source: RNAcentral
AAUAGAUACCCAGGUAGUCCACGCCGUAAACGAUGGAUGCUAGCUAUUGGGGGGAAUCGACCCCCUCCGAAGCGAAGCUAACGCGUUAAGCAUCCCGCCUGAGUAGUACGAGCGCAAGCUUAAAACUCAAAGGAAUUGACGGGGACCCGCACAAGCGGUGGAGCGUGUGGUUUAAUUCGAUGGUAAACGAAGAACCUUACCAAGGUUUGACAUCCCGGUAGCCGUUCUCCGAAAGGAGAAUUUCAUUUAGUUGGACCGGUGACAGGUGAUGCAUGGCCGUCGUCAGCUCGUGUCGUGAGAUGUUGGGUUAAGUCCCGCAACGAGCGCAACCCUUAUGAUUUAGUUGGAUUUUUCUAAACAGACUGCCCUGGUAACAGGGAGGAAGGAGGGGAUGAUGUCAGGUCAGUAUUUCCCUUACACCUUGGGCGACACACGCGCUACAAUGGCCGGUACAAUGGGCAGCUAAGCCGCGAGGUGGAGCAAAUCCCAUCAAAGCCGGUCCCAGUUCGGAUUGCAGGCUGAAACCCGCUGCAUGAAGCCGGAAUCGCUAGUAACC